RNAcentral lists this long non-coding RNA (1183 nucleotides) under Salmo salar (Atlantic salmon). RNAcentral describes it as "lncRNA (ENSSSAG00000113051.1)". The record is from RNAcentral. Lineage: Eukaryota; Metazoa; Chordata; Actinopteri; Salmoniformes; Salmonidae.
UUCAAUAGCUAGGCUAUCCAUAUUACAGGAGCUUCAUCUUAUUCUUUCUAUUUCCAUUGUGAAUUCGCGGAAACUUUGGAGACAACAAUAGGUGGCAAAGUCAAAUAUACUGGUUUCCUUCUGUGUCAAAGUUUUCCCUAAUUGCUUAUGACAAAUCCAGCUCUUGAACCAGCCAUUGACAGCCCGCUGGCUAAUCUUUUGAAUAUGGUGUAGCAACAAAAGAUAGCUUUAGCUAGAUAAGGUUAGCAUGCUAGCUAGCUACUCUGACCGCUAUCGGUUCCUUACUCGUUGUUAUUUCUCGACUCCACGUGGAAAUCACCACAAUGUUCCCACGCCAAAUUCCUGAGUACGUAUUAGCCGCCUGUGGUAUUCUUCCGAGGUGGAAACUAAAGGAGGUUUUCCAAUAUAGGACAGGAAUUAGGUAGAAAUAGUGGCGGCCUUGCCAUCUGCUGGGGGCCUUUAGAGCUACAUUACUACAAUUCUACACAUAAAGGCCAUGACUUAUGCCAUGUUAAUAAGAUAUCUGAGUGAGAAUGACUAACAGCAUCAAUGGGGGCCCCUGGGCAUUUACUCUGCGUGCCCGGUCAAUAUUCGGCCAUGACUGCUACAAGUUUACAUAGCUGGCUAGGUUAACUACCAAUCUAGUUUACAUAGCUGGCUAGGUUAACUACCAAUCUAGUUUACAUAGCUGGCUAGGUUAACUACCAAUCUAGUUUACAUAGCUGGCUAGGUUAACUACCAAUCUAGUUUACAUAGCUGGCUAGGUUAACUACCAAUCUAGUUUACAUAGCUGGCUAGGUUAACUACCAAUCUAGUUUUGAUAGCUGGCGAGACUAACAGCCAAUCUAGUUCUGAAACUUGCCCAUGAGUGCCCUCUUAGGGUGAAGGAGUCAGAGAUUACAGGGUAAGAGCUGUCCGGCAUAUCUCUCAUGCUGAGGCUGAGGAAAAGAGUGAAAGAAAGUGAGAGGUGGUCGGUCAGGAUGGUGGAGGCUGCAGUCUAGUGCUGUGGGUUUGUCAGGUGCAGGAUCCAGAAACCCUCAGAGUCGUAUUGGACUUUUUGGGGUAUUUAUUCCUAUGGUUAUAAACUACACUGCCCGAGUGGAUAAGAAUUCAAGAAAGACUGAUAUCAUAAUAUCUGCACAUGAACGCUUCUUGGGAUUGAAGGAUGUUACAGGUGAGGAGC